Molecule: ribosomal RNA, 400 nt
Filed under: uncultured bacterium
Lineage: Bacteria
Description: bacterial SSU rRNA
Rfam family: Bacterial small subunit ribosomal RNA
Source: RNAcentral
CCUGGUAGUGGGGGACAACGUUUCGAAAGGAACGCUAAUACCGCAUACGUCCUACGGGAGAAAGCAGGGGACCUUCGGGCCUUGCGCUAUCAGAUGAGCCUAGGUCGGAUUAGCUAGUUGGUGGGGUAAUGGCUCACCAAGGCGACGAUCCGUAACUGGUCUGAGAGGAUGAUCAGUCACACUGGAACUGAGACACGGUCCAGACUCCUACGGGAGGCAGCAGUGGGGAAUAUUGGACAAUGGGCGAAAGCCUGAUCCAGCCAUGCCGCGUGUGUGAAGAAGGUCUUCGGAUUGUAAAGCACUUUAAGUUGGGAGGAAGGGCAGUAAGCUAAUACCUUGCUGUUUUGACGUUACCGACAGAAUAAGCACCGGCUAACUCUGUGCCAGCAGCCGCGGUAAU